GACGAACGCUGGCGGCGUGCCUAAUACAUGCAAGUAGAACGCUGAAGAGAGGAGCUUGCUCUUCUUGGAUGAGUUGCGAACGGGUGAGUAACGCGUAGGUAACCUGCCUUGUAGCGGGGGAUAACUAUUGGAAACGAUAGCUAAUACCGCAUAACAAUGGAUGACACAUGUCAUUUAUUUGAAAGGGGCAAUUGCUCCACUACAAGAUGGACCUGCGUUGUAUUAGCUAGUAGGUGAGGUAGCGGCUCACCUAGGCGACGAUACAUAGCCGACCUGAGAGGGUGAUCGGCCACACUGGGACUGAGACACGGCCCAGACUCCUACGGGAGGCAGCAGUAGGGAAUCUUCGGCAAUGGGGGCAACCCUGACCGAGCAACGCCGCGUGAGUGAAGAAGGUUUUCGGAUCGUAAAGCUCUGUUGUAAGUCAAGAACGAGUGUGAGAGUGGAAAGUUCACACUGUGACG
RNAcentral lists this ribosomal RNA (464 nucleotides) under Streptococcus sp. oral taxon C65. RNAcentral describes it as "bacterial SSU rRNA". It matches the Rfam family "Bacterial small subunit ribosomal RNA", at positions 28 to 474 of the family's 1533-position model. The record is from RNAcentral. Lineage: Bacteria; Bacillati; Bacillota; Bacilli; Lactobacillales; Streptococcaceae.